RNAcentral lists this transfer RNA (75 nucleotides) under Candidatus Oleimmundimicrobium sp. RNAcentral's name for it is "tRNA-Thr". It matches the Rfam family "tRNA". From Rfam's summary of the family: Transfer RNA (tRNA) molecules are approximately 80 nucleotides in length. Lineage: Bacteria; Bacillati; Actinomycetota; Candidatus Aquicultoria; Candidatus Subteraquimicrobiales; Candidatus Oleimmundimicrobiaceae. The record is from RNAcentral.
GCCGGAUUAGCUCAGAGGAAGAGCAACGCACUCGUAAUGCGUAGGCCGCCGGUUCAAAUCCGGCAUCCGGCUCCA